AUCUCAUUUGAGUGAGAUGGGAGUCAAUAUUCUCUAGCUAUUAGUCUCUCUUUCUCUAUAUAAAUAUAUAUAUAUACAAUCGUGUUUGCUUCUGGACGCCCAAACCGAGUCAAGAGUAAUUAAGAACUUUGUGUCUUCUCUUAUGGAGGGGAAAGCUAUUCUUCUUUGCCUUAUGGUGCUUGUGCAGCUAGGAAAUUCCUUUCAUGAUGAGGAAUGUAAGGAGAUGGUUGCUGCUUACGGACGUGAGUGCGAUGUGUCAACUUGCCAGGUGGCCUGCAAGGAUUUGUUUGGACCUGAACUUAGAAAGUUUUGGUGUGCCAAUGUUGUCCCAUACUAUUGGCAUUGUUAUUGCCUCGUCUGUUGGUAGCGUCGCAAUAAACCAUCAUGUCAAACAAUGGACAAGUGAUGUGAUCUAGUAAUAAAAUCUUAUUGUGAUCUGAGAAUAUAUAAUGAUCGCCAAAUUUAUGUGUUCUAUUCGAUUUUGUCAUGUGUGAUAUUUUA
Hordeum vulgare subsp. vulgare (domesticated barley) is the source of this 501-nucleotide long non-coding RNA. RefSeq lists it as uncharacterized. Lineage: Eukaryota; Viridiplantae; Streptophyta; Magnoliopsida; Poales; Poaceae. The record is from RefSeq and is a predicted model, not a curated record. The transcript is spliced from 2 exons.